Molecule: long non-coding RNA, 688 nt
Filed under: Elaeis guineensis (African oil palm)
Lineage: Eukaryota; Viridiplantae; Streptophyta; Magnoliopsida; Arecales; Arecaceae
Description: long non-coding RNA (EGUI_LNC058570)
Source: RNAcentral
AGGCUGCUAGUUAGAUUCUUGAUUUAUCUGGCCAAGCCCUGUAAGCCGUUGGGCUACAUUCUGACUGUCGUCGUGGAUGAAUUUUAUCUACUCCCCCAUGUCAAGGUUGUUAGUCGUAGGUGUCAGAUGCAGGCUUUGCCUGUGUGAGUGGUGCCUGGGUCCAUAGUUGGUGUGACCUCAUCACAUCAUCUUGGGUGCACCCGUAUGGAGUAUUGAUCUCAGAUGGCGGAUCUUUCUGCAAUAUAUACCCUCUACUCCUAAGUUUGAAGUGGCUUUUGGGGUUUCGAAAAAAGAUAGUAAAUGCCUUGGUAGCUAAAUUGCCGACGCAUCUCUCUCUUGACUACAUCUAAAUAAUUCUCUUCAAGAAAGAUUCCUAAAAAUUUAGGGAUGUGCCAUUUCAUGACUCGCACUAUUUUUGUUAGGAGUGGAACUUGAGGAGUCGCAGAACGGUGCUAUGGAGAGAGACGAUCCGGAGAUUGCUCCUGGACUCACCUAGGACUUGCCAUGUGGUACAUUGCGAUGAGUUCCGAAGCAUGCUUCAUGAGUUGUUUUAUGUGAUCAACCAGAUAGGGUUGCGAUGAACAACUGCGUGCUUCACCAUUUCAAUGCUGGCCAAGUGGUGUGAUCUAGUGCUUCAAAGAUUGGAUCCAUGUCGGCAGCAGCCUAUAUAAGUGGGCUGCUCAUCUAG